GCCGGUGGGUACAGGGAUGAUGGAGACGGUCCCGACGGAUACAGAGGGGUGGCUGAUGGCGCCGCGGGGUAGAGAGGCUGCGGCGAAGGCCCCGGCUGAUACAGAAUGGGCAUCUGCCCAGAGAAGCCCGACGGGAAAGAAUUAAAGAACAGAGUGACAAACUGGAAGGAGACCUAGAAUACAGAAUGUCAGUGGAUUCCAGCGGUCUUCAUCUUCAGAUGGAGCCUCAGAAAGUGAAAAGACUCACCGAGGGUCACACAGGCAGUAAGGACAGAGCUGGGAUUUGAACACAGAUCUUCUGGCAGCAAAAUCCACACUCUUACUCAUUAGUGGCAAAUGUGUGAAAGCAUAGCUCCAGCCAUGUAUUUCUUUAUACAGAUACAACUUGUUUGUA
This is a long non-coding RNA of Monodelphis domestica (gray short-tailed opossum), 394 nucleotides long. RefSeq lists it as uncharacterized. NCBI's taxonomy places the organism in Eukaryota, Metazoa, Chordata, Mammalia, Didelphimorphia, Didelphidae. The record is from RefSeq and is a predicted model, not a curated record.